AGAACGAACGUUAGCGGCGCGCCUAACACAUGCAAGUCGCACGAGAAAGGGCUUCGGCCCCGGUACAGUGGCGCACGGGUGAGUAACACGUGGGUAAUGUUCCCUCAGGCAGGGGAUAACCUUCCGAAACCUGGGCUAAUACCGCAUAAUACCUACGGGUCAAAGGAGCAAUUCGCUUUAGGAGGGGGUCGCGGCAGAUUAGUUAGUUGGCGGGGUAAUGGCCCACAAGACAGUGAUCUGUAUCC
RNAcentral lists this ribosomal RNA (245 nucleotides) under uncultured bacterium. RNAcentral's name for it is "partial small subunit ribosomal RNA". It matches the Rfam family "Bacterial small subunit ribosomal RNA", at positions 26 to 288 of the family's 1533-position model. The record is from RNAcentral.